CCCACACCCAUGUGUGUAGGACCCCAAAUGAUCACCAUUAAAUUUGGCACAGAUCUCUAGAAAAGUUAUCACAUAGGUGUAAGACUUGACUUUUCUAAAGAUAUGUGCUAAAUUUAAUGGUGAUCUUUUAAGGUUCUACAAACAUGGGUGUGGG
This 154-nucleotide microRNA precursor is filed under the name Amborella trichopoda. RNAcentral describes it as "MIR8565 microRNA precursor family". It matches the Rfam family "MIR8565 microRNA precursor family". Lineage: Eukaryota; Viridiplantae; Streptophyta; Magnoliopsida; Amborellales; Amborellaceae. The record is from Rfam by way of RNAcentral.